UCCGGUUUGUCACCGGCGGUCCCCUUAGAGUUCCCAACUGAAUGCUGGCAACUAAGGGCAAGGGUUGCGCUCGUUAGAGGACUUAACCCGACAUCUCACGACACGAGCUGACGACAGCCAUGCAGCACCUGUACCAGUUGUACCCCGAAGGGCCUACCCCACUUUCAUGGGGAUAAUCCUGGCAAGUCAAGCCCAGGUAAGGUUCUGCGCGUUGCUUCGAAUUGAACCACAUGCUCCACCGCUUGUGUGAGCCCCCGUCAAUUCCUUUGAGUUUUAGCCUUGCGACCGUACUUCCCAGGCGGUCCACUUAGCACUUUUGCUUCGACCGUGAAACCGUCAGAGGUUCCACGAUCUAGUGGACAUCGUUUAGGGCCAGGACUAC
This 382-nucleotide unclassified non-coding RNA is filed under the name uncultured Tepidisphaerales bacterium. Its description in RNAcentral is "contains 16S-23S intergenic spacer region". Lineage: Bacteria; Pseudomonadati; Planctomycetota; Phycisphaerae; Tepidisphaerales. The record is from RNAcentral.